RNAcentral lists this ribosomal RNA (1413 nucleotides) under uncultured Bordetella sp. RNAcentral's name for it is "partial 16S-23S ribosomal RNA intergenic spacer". It matches the Rfam family "Bacterial small subunit ribosomal RNA". The record is from RNAcentral. Lineage: Bacteria; Pseudomonadati; Pseudomonadota; Betaproteobacteria; Burkholderiales; Alcaligenaceae.
CUUCUGGUCUGGUGGCGAGUGGCGAACGGGUGAGUAAUGUAUUUGAACGUGCCUAGUAGCGGGGGAUAACUACGAAAGCGUAGCUGCACACCGCAUACGCCCUUCGGGGGAAAGCGGGGGACCUUCUGGCCUCGCACUAUUAGAGCGGCUGAUAUCGGAUUAGCUAGUUGGUGGGGGUAACGGGCUCACCUCAAGGGCGACGAUCCGUAGCUGGUUUGAGAGGACGACCAGCCACACUGGGACUGAGACACGGCCCAGGACUCCUACGGAGGCAGCAGUGGGGAAUUUUGGACAAUGGGGAAACUCCCGAUCCAGCCAUCCCGCGUGUGCGAUGAAGGCCUUGGGUUGUAAAGCACUUUUUGGCAGGAAGAAACGGCACGGGAUAAUACCCGUGCAACUGACGGUACCUGUAAGAAUAAGCACCGGUUAACCAUGCCAGCAGCCGCGGUAAUACGUAGGGUGCGUUGUUGACCGGAAUUACUGGGCGUAAAGCGUGCGCAGCGGUUCGGAAAGAAAGAUGUGAAACCCCAGGAGCUUAACUUUGGAACUGCAUUUUUAACUACCGAGCUAGAGGUGUCAGAGGGGAGGUGGAAUUCCGCGUGUAGCAGUGAAAUGCGUAGAUAUGCGGAGGAACACCGAUGGCGAAGGCAGCCUCCUGGGAUAACACUGACGCUCAUGCACGAAAGCGUGGGGAGCAAACAGAUUAGAUACCCCAGUAGUCCACGCCCUAAACGAUGUCAACUAGCUGUUGGGGCUCUUCGCCUUGGUAGCGCAGCUAACGCGUGAAGUUGACCGCCUGGGGAGUACGGUCGCAAGAUUAAAACUCAAAGUGGGAAUUGACGGGACCCGCGCACAAGCGGUGGAUGAUGUGGAUUAAUUCGAUGCAACGAAACCCUUACCUACCCUUGACAUGUCUGGAAUCCCGAAGAGAUUUGGGAGUGCUCGCAAGAGAACCGGAACACAGGUGCUGCAUGGCUGUCGUCAGCUCGUGUCGAGAUGUUAGCAGUCCCGCAACGAGCGCAACCCUUGUCAUUAGUUGCUACGAAAGGGCACCUAAUGAGACUGCCGGUGACAAACCGGAGGAAGGUGGGAUGACGUCAAGUCCUCAUGGCCCUUAUGGGUAGGGCUUCACACGUCAUACAAUGGUCGGGACAGAGGGUCGCCAACCCGCGAGGGGGAGCCAAUCCCAGAAACCCGAUCGUAGUCCGGAUCGCAGUCUGCAACUCGACUGCGUGAAGUCGGAAUCGCUAGCAAUCGCGGAUCAGCAUGUCGCGGUGAAUCACGUUCCCGGGUCUUGUACACACCGCCCGUCACACCAUGGGAGUGGGUUUUACCAGAAGUAGUUAGCCUAACCGUAAGGAGGGCGAUUACCACGGUAGGAUCUAUGACUGGGGUGAAGUCGUAACAAGGUAG